RNAcentral lists this ribosomal RNA (376 nucleotides) under uncultured bacterium. RNAcentral describes it as "bacterial SSU rRNA". It matches the Rfam family "Bacterial small subunit ribosomal RNA", at positions 523 to 897 of the family's 1533-position model. The record is from RNAcentral.
AUACGUAGGUGGCAAGCGUUAUCCGGAAUUAUUGGGCGUAAAGCGCGCGUAGGCGGUUUUUUAAGUCUGAUGUGAAAGCCCACGGCUCAACCGUGGAGGGUCAUUGGAAACUGGAAAACUUGAGUGCAGAAGAGGAAAGUGGAAUUCCAUGUGUAGCGGUGAAAUGCGCAGAGAUAUGGAGGAACACCAGUGGCGAAGGCGACUUUCUGGUCUGUAACUGACGCUGAUGUGCGAAAGCGUGGGGAUCAAACAGGAUUAGAUACCCUGGUAGUCCACGCCGUAAACGAUGAGUGCUAAGUGUUAGGGGGUUUCCGCCCCUUAGUGCUGCAGCUAACGCAUUAAGCACUCCGCCUGGGGAGUACGACCGCAAGGUUGA